CUUGGUCAUUUAGAGGAAGUAAAAGUCGUAACAAGGUCUCCGUUGGUGAACCAGCGGAGGGAUCAUUACCAGAGUGCCCUAGGCUCUCCAACCCAUUGUGAACUUACCAAACGUUCCCUCGGCGGGCUCAGCGCGCGGUGGCCUCCGGGCCUCCGGGCGUCCGCCGGGGAAAACCAAACCCUGAUUUAAUCGUAUUUCUCUGAGGGGCGAAAGCCCGAAAACAAAAUGAAUCAAAACUUUCAACAACGGAUCUCUUGGCUCUGGCAUCGAUGAAGAACGCAGCGAAAUGCGAUAAGUAAUGUGAAUUGCAGAAUUCAGUGAAUCAUCGAAUCUUUGAACGCACAUUGCGCCCGCCGGCACUCCGGCGGGCAUGCCUGUCCGAGCGUCAUUUCAACCCUCAGGCCCACCCUUCCGGGGGAGCGGGCCUGGUGCUGGGGAUCGGCGGCCCUCGCGGCCCCCGUCCCUCAAAUACAGUGGCGGUCGCGCCGCAGCCUCCCCUGCGUAGUAGCACAACCUCGCACCGGAGAGCGGAACGACCACGCCGUGAAACCCCCAAUUUUUUAAGGUUGACCUCGGAUCAGGUAGGAAUACCCGCUGAACUUAAGCAUAUCAAUAAGCGGAGGAAAAGAAACCAACAGGGAUUGCCUCAGUAACGGCGAGUGAAGCGGCAACAGCUCAAAUUUGAAAUCUGGCCUCACGGUCCGAGUUGUAAUUUGUAGAGGAUGCUUUUGGCGAGGUGCUUUCCGAGUUCCCUGGAGCGGGACGCCAUAGAGGGUGAGAGCCCCGUACGGUAAGACCACCGAGCCUCUGUAAAGCUCCUUCGACGAGUCGAGUUGUUUGGGAAU
RNAcentral lists this small RNA (845 nucleotides) under uncultured Acremonium. Its description in RNAcentral is "eukaryotic LSU rRNA". The stretch from base 568 to 845 matches the Rfam family "Eukaryotic large subunit ribosomal RNA", at positions 1 to 281 of the family's 3401-position model. The record is from RNAcentral. Lineage: Eukaryota; Fungi; Ascomycota.